AUGAACGCUGGCGGCGUGCCUAAUACAUGCAAGUCGAGCGAACAGAUGAGGAGCUUGCUCCUCUGACGUUAGCGGCGGACGGGUGAGUAACACGUGGAUAACCUACCUAUAAGACUGGGAUAACUUCGGGAAACCGGAGCUAAUACCGGAUAAUAUAUUGAACCGCAUGGUUCAAUAGUGAAAGACGGUUUUGCUGUCACUUAUAGAUGGAUCCGCGCCGCAUUAGCUAGUUGGUAAGGUAACGGCUUACCAAGGCAACGAUGCGUAGCCGACCUGAGAGGGUGAUCGGCCACACUGGAACUGAGACACGGUCCAGACUCCUACGGGAGGCAGCAGUAGGGAAUCUUCCGCAAUGGGCGAAAGCCUGACGGAGCAACGCCGCGUGAGUGAUGAAGGUCUUCGGAUCGUAAAACUCUGUUAUUAGGGAAGAACAAAUGUGUAAGUAACUAUGCACGUCUUGACGGUACCUAACCAGAAAGCCACGGCUAACUACGUG
This 496-nucleotide ribosomal RNA is filed under the name uncultured bacterium. Its description in RNAcentral is "partial 16S ribosomal RNA". It matches the Rfam family "Bacterial small subunit ribosomal RNA", at positions 29 to 507 of the family's 1533-position model. The record is from RNAcentral.